Molecule: transfer RNA, 2718 nt
Filed under: Ovis aries (sheep)
Lineage: Eukaryota; Metazoa; Chordata; Mammalia; Artiodactyla; Bovidae
Description: lncRNA (ENSOARG00000025404.1)
Rfam family: tRNA (bases 1405-1475)
Source: RNAcentral
AUGCCAGAUAGCUGGAUGGACGUGCUCUCCUGGCUGCUCUGGCCCCAUCUGUUUGCGAUGGUCAGACAGUCCUGGGGCAGUUCAUCUGCAGAGGUGGUAUCUGAUGACCGACUUGGUGGCCUCGGACGUGGCAUACUUGCCGAGCUCCCCAGGCAACAGAAGACGCACAGAUGUCUGGAUGUCUUCGGUCAUGAUGGUGCAGCGCUUGUUGCUGUGGGCCAGGCGCCCGGCCUCUUCGGCAAUCCGCUCGAACAUAUCUUUCACAAACGAAUCCAGGACGUUCACGGACUCACGGGAAAGACUCAGGCCUGUAUGUACUUGCUUCAGCACCCUAGGGAAAUAGGUAGCAAAGCUUGAGAAAUUGCCCUGACGGCAGCGGCGGCGACGGCAACGGCAACGGCGGCCCUUAGCUGUCUUCUGCUUCGCCUUUUUUGGUUCCGCAUCAUUCGGCUCUGGUUUGGAGGUCUCUGCUUUCACCAUCUCCGUUUCAGAGGGCUCAGUUUCGGAGGUGCUGGUGUCUAUGGUGAUCACGUCUUCCUCAUGGCUGUCAGAGGAUGGUUCCAACACGGCAGCGCCACCAUUCUCCAUAGCGCAGCCCAGAAGAACAGUGAGGUCGUUGAAGGCCGUUGGCCGAAUUUAUAGGCCCGGCUUUCCCUGACGUCACAGACACUGUCCAUCUCUGAUUGGAUGCAAGGCAGGGAGGCCUGUUACUAUGGCAGCCCAUGUCCCGUGACACCUGACGUCCCACCUCCCAACUCCUGCCCUGCCCCUCCCCCAUGUUUAACCCCCAGUCAGCCCAUCUGCCCUGGUGGCUCUGACGGUAAUGUGUCUGUCUACAAUGCGGGAUACCUGGGUUCGAUCCCUGGGUCGAGAAGAUUCGGUGGAGAAGGAAAUGGCAACCCCCUCCAGUACUCUUGUCUAGAAAAUCCCAUGGACGGAGGAGUCUGGUGUCCAUGGGGUCGCAAAGAGUCGGACACGACUGAACAACUUCACUUUCACUUUCAGCCAAUCUCAGUGAAAGUCACCUAAUUUGGAAAAUGAAAUAAUCAGUAAAAGCUUCCUGAGAGAGUAUGACAGACCUCCAUAGCUCCAGCUCUUUCAGGCAUCAGAGUGACUCAGGUCACUUGGUGGACAUUUUACUCCAACACAGAAUCUUCUCGUGGUUGACCUACAGUGGCAUGAGCAGAAUGUCCUGGCUUCCCCAGCAGAGUGCUCCUGAAAAUCAUAGGAAUGUAAUGAACAGCUAUUAUCUCCAGUAUUUAUCUAAACCAAUGAUCAGUAUGAAGAGAAUGACAAAAUCCCAUUCUCCAAAUACAGAACACAAACAGAAGUAGGAAUCCUUACACAUACACACUAAAAAUAUGUAACAUUUUGCAAAUUAUAAAUUGUUUUCUUAAACCUUAUUCCUGGCGGCUCAGAGGUUAAAGCGUCUGCCUGCAAUGCAGGAGCCCUGGGUUUGAUCCCUUGGUCGGGAAGAUCCCCUGGAGAAGGAAAUGACAACCCACUUCAUUAUUCUUGCCUGGAGACUCCCAUGGAAGGAGCAGCCUGGUGGACUACAGUCCACGUGGUCACAAAGAGUCAGACACGACUGAGCGAAUUCACUUCAAACCUUAUUUAGGUCCCCCAAAUACCACACAUACUGGAACUGAUUAAUGAUUUAUAGUGGUUAUUUCUCAAAAAAUGAUCACUCUUAUUGCUGAAAAGCCACUAGGGUGAGAGAAAAUGAAUUUAAAAAGAGAGAAAUAGAACAGCUAGAAAUAAACGUACCUGUUAUGCCCAAGUUGCGAAAUCUCCCAAUGACCACCAGGGAGCCAAUAUCUGAUGCAAAAGCAAGAUAGUUUUUAUUACCAAGCUCGAGCUGGGGCGCCCACCUUUACCAACACAGCGGCUAAGGAGAGGAGCCCGGAACUCUGGGUUACAUUGCUUAUAUAGGGUAUUCUCGUGUGAAAAUUUCGAAAAACGGGAGUUUCCGGAUUGGGAGACGUCUAAUUGGUUACCUUUUGUGGAAGGGUUAGGUGUUGGGUUCUGAUUGGUUUCAUUUCCCAGGCUGGCCACAGGUUCUGAUUAGUUCCCAUUUCCCGGGGUUAAUUCAAAUUUCCUGGGCAGGUCAUAAGUCCUGAACAUAAAGUCAGGAGAUCCUAAUUUGGGAUCUGAUUGGCUUGCAGGUAGUGGGGUGAGGUCAGGGGAUUUCCAAAGACUCUUUCCUCAGAACUCUAAAAUGGAGUCUUUUUAACAAAAUGGGGUGGCUUAUGUUCUUCAUACCAAAAAAGAAAGUGAAGAGGAACUAAAAAGCCCCUUGAUGAAAGUGAAAGAGGAGAGUGAAAAGUUGGCUUAAAGCUCAACAUUCAGAAAAUGAAGAUCAUGGCAUCCAGUUCCAUCACUUCAUGGGAAAUAGAUGGGGAAACAGUGUAAACAGUGUCAGACUUUAUUUUGGAGAGGCUCCAAAAUCACUGCAGAUGGUGACUGCAGCCAUGAAAUUAAAAGAUGUUUACUCCUUGGAAGAAAAGUUAUGACCAACCUAGACAGUAUAUUCAAAAGCAGACAUUACUUUGCCGACUAAGGUCCAUCUAGUCAAGGCUAUGGUUUUUCCAGUAGUCAUGCAUGGACCUGUAUGAAAUUAGAAAAUAAUUACAUAAAGAAAAUGCAAAAACCACAAACACAUGGAGAGAAAAGAAUAUGAUAGGAAAAAAAACCAAUGGAUCAGUGAAGAAAUCAAAG